CCUACGGGAGGCAGCAGCAGUGAAUAUUGGUCAAUGGAGGAAACUCUGACCCAGCAGCACCGCGUGCGUGGAUGAAGACGUCCUGGUGGUAAACCGCUUUCUGUAUCGAAGAAGAGAAUGUGACGGUACUUACAAAAUAAGCCCCGGCUAAUUAUGUGCCAGCAGCCGCGGUAAUACAUAAGGGGCAAGCGUUGUCCGGAAUUAUUGGGCAUAAAGAGUCCGCAGGUGGCUUGUUAAGUCGGUUGUGAAAACGUGAGGCUCAACUUCAGGCCUGCAUUGGAAACGGGCAAACUAGAGUUUGGUAGGGGCGGAGGGAAUUCCUGGUGUAGCGGUGGAAUGCGCAGAUAUCAGGAGGAACACCAAUGGCGAAGGCAGUUUUCUGGGCCAUAACUGACGCUGAGGAGCGAAAGCCAGGGGAGCGAACAGGAUUAGAUACCCUGGUAGUCCGCGCCGUAAACGGUGGACACUAGGUGUGGGAGCAUUCCACCGCUUCGGCGUCGCAGCCAACGCAUUAAGUGCUCCGCCUGGGGAGUACGCACGCAAGUUUAAAACUCAAAGGAAUUGACGG
Molecule: ribosomal RNA, 568 nt
Filed under: uncultured bacterium
Lineage: Bacteria
Description: bacterial SSU rRNA
Rfam family: Bacterial small subunit ribosomal RNA
Source: RNAcentral